RNAcentral lists this ribosomal RNA (497 nucleotides) under uncultured bacterium. RNAcentral's name for it is "partial 16S ribosomal RNA". It matches the Rfam family "Bacterial small subunit ribosomal RNA", at positions 28 to 507 of the family's 1533-position model. The record is from RNAcentral.
GAUGAACGCUGGCGGCGUGCCUAAUACAUGCAAGUCGAGCGAACAGACGAGGAGCUUGCUCCUCUGACGUUAGCGGCGGACGGGUGAGUAACACGUGGAUAACCUACCUAUAAGACUGGGAUAACUUCGGGAAACCGGAGCUAAUACCGGAUAACAUGUUGAACCGCAUGGUUCAACAGUGAAAGACGGUCUUGCUGUCACUUAUCGAUGGAUCCGCGCCGCAUUAGCUAGUUGGUAAGGUAACGGCUUACCAAGGCAACGAUGCGUAGCCGACCUGAGAGGGUGAUCGGCCACACUGGAACUGAGACACGGUCCAGACUCCUACGGGAGGCAGCAGUAGGGAAUCUGCCGCAAUGGGCGAAAGCCUGACGGAGCAACGCCGCGUGAGUGAAGAAGGUCUUCGGAUCGUAAAACUCUGUUAUUAGGGAAGAACAAAUGUGUAAGUAACUAUGCACGUCUUGACGGUACCUAAUCAGAAAGCCACGGCUAACUACGUG